Molecule: small RNA, 655 nt
Filed under: Arabidopsis thaliana (thale cress)
Lineage: Eukaryota; Viridiplantae; Streptophyta; Magnoliopsida; Brassicales; Brassicaceae
Description: putative long intergenic non-coding RNA
Source: RNAcentral
AUUUGAAAACAAACUUUAACCAAAACUAAACCAAAAUUAUCAAAAAUUAACCCGAACCCGCCGACCUAUUAACGUUCCGAUCCAACGCUUCUUCUUCACCUGAAAUUUUGCUUGGAUUCUCUUCGUUUAAAAACAAUACCAGACUAACUUUUUUCUGAUGAAAUCAAUAAUCGAUCUUGGAUGCAAGUAUAAAGAGACUUUCCUCAUCCUUCGUUCAGUUUAUUGAUUUCCUGUAAAUUCACUCAUUUUUGUCAAUUGCUUUUAUGUAACUUCAAAUUCGAGUUUCUUAAUCGUGAAUUCGUGAUUUCAAGUUCUCCUCAAACUCUGUUAUUUUAUGGAUUCGAUGUGGUGAAGGUGAAUACACACAACAUGGAUGGGAAGAAGAAGAAGAAUAAGUGAAAAGAUCUAGUUUUGUUGAGGAAGAAGCUGAUAAGAAGUAUCAUCAUUGGCUUGAUAGCAUGAAGAAGAGGGAAAUCGGCAGUUAUUAAAGGUAGUGGUGGUGGUGAAAGAGCUAAUUCUUGGACGAGGAGUGGUGUUGCGGCAACAUGAGAUUUUUGUUAGUUUUUUUGAGUAGAUUUUUAUGAUAUUAUGGGUUUGUGUUUCUUCAGCUAUGAGAUUAUUAUGAGAUUAUGGGUUUCUAAAUUUAAAAGCGUCC